Molecule: non-coding RNA, 3666 nt
Organism: Phoenix dactylifera (date palm)
Lineage: Eukaryota; Viridiplantae; Streptophyta; Magnoliopsida; Arecales; Arecaceae
Source: RefSeq, a predicted model, not a curated record
UUUCUUGAGCACGGACCGGCGGCGAAUUCUUUCAAUUUAUCCCCCAGAAAAUUGCCGACCGCCAAGCUUAGGUUUCUUUUUUCCCUCCAAAUCGCUUCCUCUCUUCUCUCUACUCGGAGUCCUCUGCUCCCCUUCUCAUGUCUCUUUGAAGGCCAUCCCUCCACCCGACGCCCUCGGUCCGGCCGCCAUCUAUGGCGAGCGAAGGAACACUUUGCUGCUACUCGGUACGCCUCUUUCUGUCUCUCCCCCCUCCCUCUCUCUGGCGGCACUGGAGAUCGCAUCGGCUGUAUUGCCAUAUCGGUAAUAUGUGGUUACUCCCCUUUCAGAUGUUUUAAGGAUGUAUAUAAGUUUUGUUCUAUUAAUCUAAGCUGAAACUUUCCUGAAUGAUCUUUCCCAUGCCUCCUUUCAAUAUCUGAUCUUGGUCUUGGGUGCUCAUUUUUGUUUAUAUGGUUUUUUAUUUGCGCUGAUGAGACUAUAUGAAGAUACUUCUUGGGAUGACACGAAGUUGGUGGUAAUUCUGUUCUAGCGAUGCCAUAGAAAAAUAUGUAGAGACACAAUGCAGUGCAAAAUGUUGAAAUAAUAGGAAAGAGAAAAACAGAAAACAACAAUGCAAGCGCUGUUUUAGAGUGGUGCCUCAGAAACUGAAGAUUGAUUCCAUAGCAGUAACUUUGUGAAAUUGACUGUAGAUAUUUGCAUAUUGUUAUAAAUUAUUUGUAGAAUUGGAGAGCUUUAGAUGUUCUGGAAACUAGCAUGCCAUCAAUAUAAAUGAAGAAAAUCAAAAAAAUAUUCAAUUUAGUGUCCUUAUUAUGUACUUCUCAGUAUCAAACAAAGCCAAAGCCGUGCAAUAUUAUAAAAUGCUGUUUGUUUGUCUCCAUGAUAAGACAAACUUCAAUUCAAAUUGCUUUGAGUUGUAUGAAUUUUUUUUCAUGUUUUUGUGGUCAGAAUAAAUAACACGUUGUAGAAUACGAACCAACUUAUCUUUGAGAGAACAUCCAAUAUUAGUUGAAAGGUGGACAUUACUACCUUACCUGCACACAUGUUUUGGAGUUUUCUGGAUGAUGUCUUGUUUUCUCAAAAUAUCAUUUCUUGGCUUAUUCAAUGUGCCUAAGCAUCAAUGAAACAUAGUGAUGAAGCCUUUCAGAUUCACUUGAUAUACAGAGCCUGUUAAUCUUGGAUUUUGAAUCCAAGAAAAUCAUAUUGAUCAUGUGGACAUAGUUCAUGUCUUAUGACAGGUGUAAAAAAUUUGGUAGAUUAUUCACUUGAAUCCAGUAAAUAUUUAUAAUUAUAAUACUGGGGCAGUCACAUUGGUUGUUGUAGUUCAUAUCUUGUUAGAGAAGGAAACACUUUAGUACUUUGAUCAAUUGGAUCCAGUAAGCUCAUGUCCUACUUUGCCAUUUAGCUUUUUCUGCAAACAUCUUGAUAAUUGCCUAAUUAAUUAUAAGCGAGGUGUUACUGAUGUCAUUUAACUAUUCAGUAACUUUACUAUGAUAACCUUGAUCAGAUGAAAGAUGGAAAUCUGACCAAAAUUUGUAUUAUUGAUGUUUUGGGUGCAUGAGAGUGUAGAGUCCAAGCUGAUCCCUCAAAAAAAUUGGCAUGUAUCUUCAUGGUGUUUAGGCCAUGUAAAAGGAUGAGUCUCUAUAGCCCCAUUUGUGUUGGGGGUUAGGAUCCUGUUCGCUGAUGCAUUCUAUUGGAAACCAUGAAAUCUCUUGAGAAUAGCUCAUGAUCUUCGUUAUAGAUCUUGCAAUGUGCUGAACAACUAAAGAACAUGCUCAUAGUUCCUAACAUAGUUUGGUAGCUUUCUAUGUCCCAUCCACUGUUGACUGCUUUAAAGGAUUCCUGCAUGCUACUAACAAACAUUUUUUUCCUAAAUUUUCACUACUUUGACAUCAAUGAUCUUCAUAUCAACUUUUAUGCUGCCCCUUUUCUUUUUUGAUCUUUAUUUUUUAAUUAUUCUCUUUUUGAAUGAAUUCUGCAAGAAAAUGAAGGGGUCGAGGUCCUACACGGUGCCUUGAUGUAUGGAACAGUCCUGAGGGCCAGCGCUUACGUGUUGCUUUCAACAACCUGGGCUAGCCAAUCAGCCUGAAGGCAGCAAAGCUAAGCAACUUCUUGGGUACUAUAGCAUGAGAUGGGCACUUGGCGCCCCUUAAUUUUAUUGAUUGGAGGGCUAUGCCAGAUGGAUAUAAGGAGAAGAUGUGGCAGCUUGUUGAGUCAAAGUUUGACAUUGACCCAAUUGGUAAGGAUUGGGUCUUGAAGUCCCUGGGUAGAAAAUGGAGGAACUGGAAAGCUGAGUUAAAGGCUGCAAGUUUGACAUUGACCCAAUUGGUAAGGAUUGGGUCUUGAAGUCCUUGGGUACAAAAUGGAGGAACUGGAAAGCUGAGUUAAAGGCUGCCCAUUAUGAUAGUCACAAGACUGAUGAGGAGCGGCUGGCGGAUUGUGAUGAGAGGGUUGUACGAGAUCAGUGGACAUUUCUCAUGGCAUAUUGGAGCUCUAAAAAGGGGAAGGUUUGAGUUGAAGUUUACUGAAUGUUUGUGUAGGUUACAUGAGGCACGUAGUGAAACCAACAGGGCUAAUCACGUGCAUCUGAGGUUUGGCCAUACUUCUGGUACAAAAGAGCUUUGCAUGUAUACGUGAAGAGGAGUGGGCGAAGAGGCCUGAUAGGCAGGAGCUAUCUCAGGUGGAGCUUUUUGUAUUGACCCAUACACACAAAAACAGGCAGCCCGUGGAUGGGGCUUCAUUGGAGGCAAUUUCACAACUUCAUGAACAAGCAAGACAGCUAGCUGAGAGCUCACAUGGUAGCAUUGAUUGGGAUUAUGGGAGAAGAAAAGCCUGGCCAUCUGCAUACAUAUGGUUUGGGUCCUUCUCCCUCUGAUAUCUAGGGCCCACGACCAACCCCCAGUGAGGCCAUGAAAAUGGUUUCAGAGGCUAAGACGGCUGCUGAUGAGGAGGUGCGCAUGAUGAAGGAGAAAAUGAAUGCUAUGGAGCAAAAAUAUACUGAGAUGCAAACUCAGAUGACUAUGAUGAUAACAAGAAUGGGAGCUAUGCAUAGGAGGUUCCUUGAUGAGCAGUUAUCUGGUAAAACAGGUGCACCAUCAGAGCCUUUGGGCUCCAGACAGGCUCCCGACACCUUCAGUGCUCAUGAAGCUUUGCAGCAGUCGCAGGUACACUCCUUAUUAGCACGUCAUGCAGAUCCAUCUGAUGAGGGACGGCCAACCAAGAGGGGAAAGACGCAUCAGGGUCGGGUCCUUAGGGCAAGGUAAUUUGAUGAAUGCCUGCAAUAUUGAGGCAGAAUGAAUUCUUUUGGGCAAGAGAGGGUAGAACUGACACUCAAAUUUCAGUCUAGUGCCAGUGAACUUCAGCUCAAAAAUGAUUGGAGAUGUUGCUGGAGCAAAUUGUUGCUUGACCUUCUAGUUGCUCAUUAAUGUUGCAUUUGUGAUAUGUUUACUUAGAUUUGCACAAUAUCAAUAUCUGAUUUGAAUGUAAAUGCUUCUCCCAAUCGGACUUUGUACCAACUGCUAGCAGCCUAUUUAGAUGACUACAUAUACAUCCUAGUGAUGUCAUUUGCGAUAAGGCAUGACCCAGCUAUUCUUUUUUUACGUUUGUGCCUGUGUGGAUAAAGUUGCAAGUCUUUGUUGUAAUCACCAGUAAUAUAUCAAGUGAUAUUCAUCA